GUGAGGAAUUUUCCGCAAUGGGCGAAAGCCUGACGGAGCAAUGCCGCGUGAAGGAUAAAGGCCUAUGGGUUGUAAACUUCUUUUCUCAGAAAAGAAUUAUGACGGUAUCUGAGGAAUAAGCAUCGGCUAACUCUGUGCCAGCAGCCGCGGUAAGACAGAGGAUGCAAGCGUUAUCCGGAAUGAUUGGGCGUAAAGCGUCUGUAGGUUGUUUAAAAAGUAUUCUGUCAAAGAUUAGGGCUUAACCCUAGAUAGGCAGAAUAAACUUUUAAGCUAGAGUUUGGUAGAGGCAGAGGGAAUUCCCGGUGGAGCGGUGAAAUGCGUAGAUAUCGGGAGGAACACCAAAAGCGAAGGCACUCUGCUGGGCCAAUACUAACACUGAGAGACGAAAGCGAGGGGAGCAAAUGGGAUUAGAAACCCUAGUAGUCC
Molecule: ribosomal RNA, 426 nt
Filed under: uncultured bacterium
Lineage: Bacteria
Description: partial 16S ribosomal RNA
Rfam family: Bacterial small subunit ribosomal RNA
Source: RNAcentral